This 274-nucleotide ribosomal RNA is filed under the name uncultured bacterium. RNAcentral's name for it is "partial 16S ribosomal RNA". It matches the Rfam family "Bacterial small subunit ribosomal RNA", at positions 523 to 796 of the family's 1533-position model. The record is from RNAcentral.
AUACGGAGGGUGCAAGCGUUAAUCGGAAUUACUGGGCGUAAAGCGUACGUAGGCGGUUCGUUAAGUUAGAUGUGAAAGCCCCGGGCUUAACCUGGGAACUGCAUUUAAAACUGGCGGACUAGAGUUGGGUAGAGUGGAGUGGAAUUUCAGGUGUAGCGGUGAAAUGCGUAGAGAUCUGAAGGAACACCAGUGGCGAAGGCGACUCCCUGGACUCGAACUGACGCUGAGGUACGAAAGCGUGGGUAGCAAACGGGAUUAGAAACCCUAGUAGUCC